CCACAAAACCAGAGCUUUGACAGGAAAUACGCUGGCAUUUUUCACUUCCGGUUCUGGCACUUCGGUGAAUGGGUUGAUGUGGUGGUGGAUGAUCGCCUGCCAGUGAAUGAAGCAGGGGAGCUGGUCUUUGUUUCCUCAGUCUAUAAGAAUGUAUUCUGGGGAGCCCUUUUGGAGAAGGCAUAUGCCAAGCUCUAUGGCUCCUAUGAGGAUCUGCAGGUUGGGCAAGUUUCAGAAGCCUUG
This 240-nucleotide long non-coding RNA is filed under the name Apteryx owenii (little spotted kiwi). Its description in RNAcentral is "lncRNA (ENSAOWG00000018201.1)". Lineage: Eukaryota; Metazoa; Chordata; Aves; Apterygiformes; Apterygidae. The record is from RNAcentral.